Molecule: long non-coding RNA, 544 nt
Organism: Podarcis raffonei (Aeolian wall lizard)
Lineage: Eukaryota; Metazoa; Chordata; Lepidosauria; Squamata; Lacertidae
Exons: 3
Source: RefSeq, a predicted model, not a curated record
AGCAAAAGCAGUAUGUGAUUGUUGUGGCCAAGUGUCCUCAGUUCACAUUGGAGAAGAUGGUUCUGGUCUCCUUCCACAGUGGAUAUCUCUUCAUCCAGACAGAUAAAACCAUCUACACACCUGGGUCCAAAGGUAAAGCCUUCUGCUAGUCCCUCCCAUAACAUUAUCUGGAAAUGCAGGAGGGGUCUGGAGUGUAUAACCUACUUGUGAUCUGCAGACUGAGCAUGGCCCACAUGGAGGCAGAAAACUGCUGACUCCUGAGCUCUGAAGGACCACCAAGGGAAGCUCUUUGUCUUGUGGAAGCAUCAACAUGUCAGUGAGACACAGGGACGGAUGAUGUAUUAACAAAGCCUGGACUGGGGCAUGUCUGGAUCCCAUGCUGCUCAGCUGAUGGCCUUUGAUGGAGAAACACACUUUUUGUGUGAAAGGGAGCAGAGGCCAGGUGAUGUGUGUACCAUAAUACCUCCUUGACAGAAUAGCAAUUUCCCCUUGAAACAAUCAAUAGAUACCUAUAAUGUUCCACACUAUAAUUGUUUUAGUUGUU